AAUAUAAAUGCAAUCUUUGGGAAACCCAUCAUAGUCUAUAAAUAGUAAUACGGAAAAUCCAUUAAAGUAUAUUAAAUUCAAAGCGAGCGACUUCACAUAACAGUAUUGAACUAUUAACACGUAUAAAAUGAUUUACCGUACGCUGAGAGCGUUGAUAUUUAUAUGUUUUGAAGUUUUAUGUAGCGGAGAUGGAUGUAAUAGGGAAGUUGUUUUAGACCCCCAGGGUGCUGUUACCACUAAAGGCAGCAAAGUUAAAUUCGCCUGCUCAAUUUCGCAAUGUGUAACUACACACUAUCCGGACACCAAGUUUCAGAUGGCGCACAAUGGAACUGAAUUUGGCGAAGCAACAAAAACACAUGAAUCCAAAGAUGAUAAAUCCUUCGCCUAUUUCGAGAAACAGUUUAAUAGUCCCAGCGACGCAGGCACUUACACGUGCAAAGUGACACCUGAUGAACAACAACCAGCGCAAAGCAGCUCAACCAGCUUAAUCGUCGAAUUUUUGCCUGCUGAGGAUAAACCAACGUUUGUACGACUGAACAAUGGAACAAACCCCAUCAGUUGCCUUAGAGAUUUCAGUGAUUCUCAAGAUCUUGUGAUGGCGUGGGAUGACCGAAGAACGUCUUGUGACAGGAGUGAAAACACCAAAACUGUUGAGUUAAAAAGUUUGAAGGAAGUGAACAGAUACCGUGAAUGUUACGUCACGUCGACGCAAGCCUGCAAACAUUAUGGGAACGUUGCAAAUGCCAUUACAAAGCAUGCUGGUGUAAUCUAUAGAAAAUUAUAUUAGGUAUACAAAUACAUUUUGUUUUUAGCUCCACUGGUCAAAGGCCAGCGGGGCUUAUGUCAUGGUCCUGUGUCCGUCGUGGGUGCGUCAGUGCGUCCGUGCGUUAACUUUUUCUUUAAACAUCUUCUUCUCCUAAAAUACUGGUCCAAUUCUAGUGAAAUUUCUCAGGAAUGUUCAUGUGGUGAACCUCUUUCAAAUUUGUUCUAAUUAUGCCCCUGGGGUAAAAUUUGACCCUACCCCGGGGGUCAAAAAAUUGAAAAUUUGCUUAUAUAAGGCCUAUUUUGUGCAAACUUUAUAAAUCUUCUUGUCCAUAACCAUUGGGCCUAGGGCUACUAAAUUUAGUAUGUAGUGACAUCUUAUAGUCCUCUACCACGUUUGUUCAAAUUAUGCCCCUGGGGUUAAAUUUGACCCUGCCCCGGGGGUCAAAAAAUUGAAAAUUUGCUUAUAUAAGGCCUAUUUUGUGCAAACUUUAAAAAUCUUCUUGUCCAUUACAAUUGGGCGUAGGGCUACCAAAUUUAGUAUGUAGUGACAUCUUAUAGUACUCUACCAAGUUUGUUCAAAUUAUGCCCCUGGGGUCAAAUUUGACCCUUCCCCGGGGGGUUAAAAAAAUUGAAAAUUUGCUUAUAUAAGGCCUAUUUUGUGCAAACUUUAAAAAUCUUCUUGUCCAUAACCAUUGGGCCAAUUCUACCAAAUUUGCUAUUUAGUGACGUCUUAUAGUCCUCUACCAAGUUUGUUCAGAUUAUGCCCCUGGGGUCAAAUUUAACCCUGCCCCGGGGGGUUAAAAAAUUGAAAAUUUGCUUAUAUAAGGCCUAUUUUGUGCAAACUUUAAAAAUCUUCUUGUCCAUACCCAUUGGGCGUAGGGCUACCAAAUUUAGUAUGUAGUGACAUCUUAUAGUCCUCUACCAAGUUUGUUCAAAUUAUGCCCCUGGGGUCAAAAUUGACCCUGCCCCGGGGGGUCAAAAAAUUGAACAUUUGCUUAUAUAAGGCCUAUUUUGUGAAAACUUUAAAAAUCUAACUGUCCAUAACCAUUGGGCCAAGGGCUACCAAAUUUGGUAUGUAGUGACAUCUUAUAGUCCUCUACCAAGUUUGUUCAAACAAUGCCCCUGGGUUCAAAUUUAACCCUGCCUCGGGGGGUCAAAAAUUGAAAAUUUGCUUAUAUAAGGCCUAUUUUUUGAAAACUUUAAAAAUCUUGACGUCCAUAACCAUUGGGCGUAGGGCUACCAAAUUUGGUAUGUAGUGACAUCUAAUAGUCCUCUACCAAGUGUCUUCAAAUUAUGUCCCUGGGGUCAAAUUUGACCCUGCCCUGGGGGGGGGGUCAAAAAAUCGAAAAUUUGCUUAUAUAAGGCAUAUUUUGUGCAAACUUUAAAAAUCUUCUUGUCCAUAACCGUAUGGCAUAGGGCUACCAAAUUUGGUAUGUAAUGACAUCUUAUAGUCCGUUACCAAGUUUGUUCAAAUUAAGUCCCUGGGAUCAAAUUUGACCGUUCCCCAGGGGUCACAAAAUUGAACAUAUGCUUAUAUUGGGCCCAUUUUGUGCAAACUUUAAAAAUAUUCUUGUCCAUAACCAUUAUACCUAUUUCUACCAAAUUCGGUAGGUAGUGACAUAUAAUAGUUCUCUACUAAGUUUGUUCCAAUUAUGCCCCUGGGAACAAAUUUGACCUUGCCCCAGGGGUCACAAAAAUGAACAUAUGCUUAAAUAAGGCCUAUUGUGUGCAAACUUUAAAAAUCUUCUUGUUCUUAAUUAUAGAGCCUAGGGCUACUAAAUUUGGUAUGUAGUGAUAUCUAAUAGUCCUCUACCAAAUUUGUUCAAAUGAUUCCCCUGGGCUCAAAUUUGACCCGGCCCCGGGGGUCACAAAACUGAACAUAUGACGUUUACCAGUGGAGAUUACUGCGGCCGUUUGGCUGUGACCAACAACAACAUCAACAUCUUGUAAACAUGAGAUAAAACCCCGUCAGUAAGUGCCAUUUUAGGUCAGAUGGUGACUGCUUACAAAGGCAUUGAAGUAAGAACAUGUGUUAUGAAUGUUUUUCUUACAAACUGAAAAAAGUCGGGUUUUAUUUAAAUAUGUCGAAAGUGACCAUAUAUCCGGAUGAAAAUAUUUUGGAUGACAUGUUAAUUUCAUUUCUUUUUUGUAGUGUUUAAACCAGUUUAAUAAUAUAUUAUUGAUUUUAAAAACACAACUUCCAUGAACAUAAUUAUUUCAAGAAAAGUAAAUAUAUAUUACUGCACGGUAAACUAAAACUUUGUAUCCAAGAGAAGGUGUUGAAAUUAAUGAAGUGCAAUGUCUUAACUAUCGUAUAUGCUGCUUUUUAAUAACUAAUGAUUCAUUGUUCCACUUGUGAAUCGUGACUCAUGAAUUGUGGAUAUGAUUGUCAAUUGCUCAACAAUCCAUAUAUAUUUCUGACCAUUUUAUAAUUUUCUUAAUAAAAGUUAUGAAUUGAUCUUAGAAGUCAAAUGUAUUAAUUAAUUAAAUACAUUUAUAAAUAUAAAGAAAUAAUCUUUAGAUUAUCAUAAUAUUCUCAGGCCUGUUGGUCUUAGGGAUGUGUUGGUUGAUGAGCAAUUUCUCCUUUUAUCACAAUUAUUUCUACCCUACCUGAUCAUUUCCUUCAUAUUCCAUUUUAAUUUAAUUGACGUCUGCAACCUCUUUCAAAUUGGGAAAGUCCAAAAUGUGUCGUUUGGUAAAGGGUUAAGGCAUUCUGAUUCCAAUGGGUCUUGUGAAUCUGUUUCAAAUAAAAUGCGUAGAUUUGAUCUUCAGCAUCUAAAAAUAUGUGUAAUAGAGAGAACGACAAUAUCUUUUGGAGAGAUAAAUGUACCUACGUUAUAAGCAAAGGACCUAUGCAACAAUUCCCGGGCUUUUAAGUCAACACGGUAGUAACUUUUUCCAUAUAUAAAAAUGCUCACCCUUCCAACUUUAAACCCCCAGUGGGACGAGGGAUAGAAAGAGAAAGUCACAUGUUUGAGUACAUUUCAACCCAUGCGCAUUGCACGUUUUUUUCGCAAAGAAAAAACAGUGGAGCAAUACAGGGCCAUCAUGGCCCUCUUGUUUGUUGUUUCAUUCUGACUUUGAAUUCGGUUGCUGUGAAUUAAGUUCGUAGACAUUUCAUGUAAAGCCAGUACAUAACCAUCACUGUGUUAUCAAAUGAGGCAUUUAGGGCGGUGGGGGAUUUAUUGAUAAAAUCUGAAAUUUAUAUAAUAGUUUAUGCGCCAAACUUGAAACUAUAAAUUCAUAUAACCGAUCGUAAAUUUAAUCGAAACCAGCUAAUUUCGUCUAUAUAUUUAAUAUUACGUUUUUUUCUAAUCCAUAUAAUUAACAUGUCUUAGUAUAGCCCAUUCUACCAGAGGACUUUAUUUAUUUGGAACGAAAUAGCAUCAUUUGAUGACAUAGCCGCCGUGGAUCGCGAAAUCUUCUGUGUUGUACGAAAGCAUUCCAUUCAUAAUAUACAAGUGUUAUAUCUAGCUUUACGGAGUUAACAAUGCCCACAUGAAAACAAAAAAAAUAUAAUUUUACCUAAAUAAACAUCAAUAAAUGUCAAUAAAAUCUUAUUCGGCUGGACUUUAUGGUAUCUUUGAUUGUAAAAUUGCCAUUUAAAACGAAACGUGAAAUAAAACAUGUUACAGUAUUGGAUAUAAACCAAGAACGCACUGGGAACCUUGUAAACGUGACUGCAUUUGUAUUUGGACCUGGUGCAAAUACCGUCGAGACGAACUGGGAGAUAGAUGGAACGAAAAUCUCUAGCCACCAGAAAAACGUCUCAGAAAACGAAACGAUUAUAAGCGUUAUAGUAAACGGUACUAUAGGCGAAUUACAACUUGUCCAUAGGCUGGGAGUAUCGGAGCUGGGUCGGGAGAAUGUUUUACUGAAGGAGAAACAAGGACCAGAAGAUGCGACGCAACUUGGGGCCGGUGCUAUUGUUGGGAUAGUCUUGGGAAUACUAGUUGUAAUAGUACCCGUGAUCUUCUUCAUAGUGUACUCGCAAAGAAAGAAACAGUAUUGUUUCCGAAAAACAGCACAAACCAAUGAAUCUCAGAGCGAACCUUUACACGAUUUCGUAGCUGCAUCCACUGAAAACGGCAAAGUGCUAACAACCAAGUAGACGUCGCACCUUCUGCAAACAACGGAACCACUGGAAAGUGUAAACACUGGUGAAAAAAAUAGAUUGAUGAUUGAACAAAUAUGGCUUUUUGUCGCCCACCUUUUAAUAUCUAGACUUACGGGUUCAGAGAACUUGCUUCUACAUCUGAAACCGCUUUUACGAAGUUGGCCAUAAAAAAACGACCAAGAAAUUGUUCUUGAUAGGAAAGAUAGUGAAAUAGUGAUAACCUGCUCUCGGUCUAGAGACAGCAAUGACUGUUGGUGAAGUAUUUUCCGGCGAUGGCGGCAACGUUUGAAAGGUGGCUUGGCCUUUGGUUCGACUUCGAAUUAUACCCAGACGUUACUCUGAGGAGAACAUUGUAAGGACUGAAAUUUUAGUUCGAAAAGACAUUGAAUGAAAAAAAUCGAAUACACGACGUAUAUCUUAGUUUAAUAAAGAAGUAAAAUAAUCAGGAUUGAAAACAAUGUUUGAAAUAGUUAUUAAUUCGAAAUAGUCUAGCGGUAUUCAACUGUUAAAUACAUUAAAUAAAAACACAUGGGCGUGGAAAUAAUUUUGAUUUUUACGAAAAGCGGCUCUGAACUUUUAAGUGUUCGAGAUAUUUGUGUUAUUUUGAAAGUUUUUUUCAUACUUGUACGUUUGUUAAGUACGCGUUUGCCUUGUAAAUGGCAUUUGUUUAGUGCCCAAUUGUUCGGCAAUUAACGUUGUUUUUAGUCAUAGAUAUAGCACCGCAUUUCAUAAAAUGUUCUCACCUGCUGGUGCAGCUAAAUUAUCAGUUCAUCUGUAUUUGAAACAACGUUGUUUAAUGACUGAUCAGGAUAGUAUUAUGAAGUAGGGCCUUUGCAUUUAAAUAAUUAUUUACUUAUCUAGCAAAGUGUUCUUUAUUUAAUGAAAAAAAAUAGCGGGUGUAUGUGCAACAUCUAUUGUAUGAAAUGGAUGUCUAUCUUCUCUGAAUCUUUAAAAUGCGUAAACACUACCAUAUUGUUUAUUUACGUUUGUUUAGUUAGAUUUUUUUGCUGUAUUAAACAGUAUUUUAUUGAUAUCACGGAGGUCAGUUAAAGGUAAACCAUCUUUAUUAUAUAGUUUAUUCCUGGGUUAGCUUACCAGUACUAAUUGUACAUACUUACAAGCCAGUUACUGACUACUUGAAUUCAAACUUAACUCAGAGGUAGCGGAAGAAAGUCCGUUGAACAUGCUUCACGACCAAUGCCUCACACAGGCCCAUUUGUUUAUAAUCUUUUAAAUAAUGCGAUGUAAAUAAAUUAUAUUAAGUACCCCGUUUUUAUUUUUAUAUUGUGAUGGCUGUUGUUUCGUUCUUAAAUCAUUAAAAAGUGCCAAUUAUACGAAAUUAUCGUUUCUGACAAACAAAAUCUGGAAUAAUGGGUUUAAUUUUAAUUCGGUCUGACCCUUUAUUUGUGUUUCUCUAUUGUCGCGAAACCCUUAUAAUUUUAUCACACUUCAAACGCUUACAGGCGAGAACCAGCUUUGUGAAAGAUAUUGAGAAUAGGUCUAGGUAGGUUUGAGAUCGUGCCAGGGACUGUGUCAAAGACACACUCCUGUACCCUUGGUAUUAUCACUAUUAAUGGAGUUUCAUACCUGUAUCAAAAUCCUAAACAAGUAAAAAUUGGUACAUACUAUUAUCAAAUGUACUGAAAAUAUAAUAAUAAAGAUGAUACCAGAAUAUUGAGAAAGGAUAUAUUCUUAAAUCCAAAUGAAAUCACUGUGUGGAUUUGAUUUGUUGUUUUGGUUUGUUUUAUCAAGAUAUCUGUAGCUCGCAUGCGAUGUGGUCAACAUGCCAUACAAGUGUAAUCUGGUUUUCAACCCACCAAACUUCGCUGUUUUAAGAACUCAUGUCGUUUAAUUUCUGCACAUUUGUGAAAAUAUUGAUUCAUGUGCUGUCCCAUUGUAUUUAUAUUUUUACUCAUCUUGAUGUGUUUUGUCAUUACAAUUUAAUGCAUGAUGCAUUGUUCAGUUUAAAUGUAAAUGAAUGUAUUUUAACGUUAAUGAUUUGGUUAGAUUUUUUUCACCGUUAAUAACAUGCUUUUUAAAUUUAUUUUUUCUCUUUUUACAUUCCUACGUAAAUGUAUAACUGUAGCUAUGUUGCAUUAUCAAAUUGUGGCUAUCUUACAUUAUCAGAGAAAACGAUAACGUGCAUAAAUAUUAAGUUUACUGCACAUUACGAUCAAGAUGAUGAAAAUAUAAUUAUCACUAUUUAUCAUAAUACUUUUAACAAAAAUAUUACCAUUCUAAUAUCUAGCUACUAUCUAUUAUCUUACAACACCAUGUAUACAAAAAUAAAUAAAUACAUAUAAUUAUAAUAAUAAUGGGUUUUCGUUAUGACAACAUAUUUAAACUUUGCGCUCGUUAAUUGUGCUUGUUGUGAUUCUCUUUACAUUUUUAUUUCUGCUGAAAUGUAUUUACUCUUAUUUUUAUCAUAAUUUAAAAUCAAUUGAAACUAUUUGUGAAGUUGUUUUAUUUUUUUUACAAAUUUUAAAAGUAUAUACCUUAGAAUCAGUCUUUCAUGUUUGUAUACAGCAGUUUGUAUCUCUAAGAUACAUUUAAGUACAAAAAUAAUUUUUCAACGUAAGACUGUUGAAACAUUUUUAACCGCCAUUUAUGUAAAGUAUUAUAAUUUUUAAAUUGGACUAACCUGUCUCAUUAUUUGCUUUACUUGUUUGAAUGUUUUCUGAUGUUUGUUUUGUGUAUGUUAAGCCAUUUGUAGUUCUUAAUAUAUCUAGAUGUUUUGACAGAUUAUAUGUAAAUUGUGUUGUACAAAUAUUGUUUUUAAAUAUAUAAACAUACAGCAGAACACCGUAUUUUCCAACACAGUUUAUCUUACUUUCUCGUUAUUUCGGAUCAUUUUUGGGGUAGCGAUUUUCUUUCUGAAUUUAGUUUGAAAUAUUAGUUUUAGAACUGUUUUAUUGAACUGAAUUGCUAUUACAAAUACAAAUGCACGUAUAAUUCAAAUAAAUCAAAGAUCCACUU
This is a long non-coding RNA of Dreissena polymorpha, 7858 nucleotides long. RefSeq lists it as uncharacterized. The record is from RefSeq and is a predicted model, not a curated record. NCBI's taxonomy places the organism in Eukaryota, Metazoa, Mollusca, Bivalvia, Myida, Dreissenidae. The transcript has 6 exons.